This 239-nucleotide long non-coding RNA is filed under the name Lepisosteus oculatus (spotted gar). RNAcentral's name for it is "lncRNA (ENSLOCG00000022857.1)". Lineage: Eukaryota; Metazoa; Chordata; Actinopteri; Semionotiformes; Lepisosteidae. The record is from RNAcentral.
GGUUGUUUUCAGGAGACUGAAGUACUCUACUGUAGAUUAAACCCCUUAUCAUUGAUUUACCCCUUAUUUACCCCUUAUCAGAUUAAACCCCUUAUCAACAACAACUGUUGUUGCAUUAAAUAUUUUGAAUGGGUGCGCAGCAACAGCUUCAGUUCAGUUACAUGAAGAAAGAUACCAGAAUGGCAACACAAGGUAAACAUGCCUUCACACAAAACAUUGUAAUGCAAAUCUCACAGGAA